RNAcentral lists this ribosomal RNA (877 nucleotides) under Achromobacter xylosoxidans. Its description in RNAcentral is "bacterial SSU rRNA". It matches the Rfam family "Bacterial small subunit ribosomal RNA", at positions 470 to 1362 of the family's 1533-position model. Lineage: Bacteria; Pseudomonadati; Pseudomonadota; Betaproteobacteria; Burkholderiales; Alcaligenaceae. The record is from RNAcentral.
UGACGGUACUUGCAGAAUAAGCACCGGCUAACUUCGUGCCAGCAGCCGCGGUAAUACGUAGGGUGCAAGCGUUAAUCGGAAUUACUGGGCGUAAAGCGUGCGCAGGCGGUUMGGAAAGAAAGAUGUGAAAUCCCAGAGCUUAACUUUGGAACUGCAUUUUUAACUACCGGUCUAGAGUGUGUCAGAGGGAGGUGGAAUUCCGMGUGUAGCAGUGAAAUGCGUAGAUAUGCGGAGGAACACCGAUGGCGAAGGCAGCCUCCUGGGAUAACACUGACGCUCAUGCACGAAAGCGUGGGGAGCAAACAGGAUUAGAUACCCUGGUAGUCCACGCCCUAAACGAUGUCAACUAGCUGUUGGGGCCUUCGGGCCUUGGUAGCGCAGCUAACGCGUGAAGUUGACCGCCUGGGGAGUACGGUCGCAAGAUUAAAACUCAAAGGAAUUGACGGGGACCCGCACAAGCGGUGGAUGAUGUGGAUUAAUUCGAUGCAACGCGAAACACCUUACCUACYCUUSACAUGUCUGGAAUGCCGCAUUAGAUUAGGAUGUGCUCGCAAGAGAACCGGCCCACAAGUGCUGCAUGGCUGCUGUCAGCUCGUGUCGUGAGAUGAUGGGUUAAGUCCCGCAACGAGCGCAACCCUUGUCAUUAUUUGCUACCAAAUGGCACUCUGGUGAGACUGCCGGACUACCACCGAAGGAAGGUGAGGAUGAGGGGAUGACUCAUGGCCCUUAUGGGCUGGCUUCUGCGUUAUACAAUGGCUAGGAGGAGGGUCGCCGCCCACCAGAGGAGAUAUCCAACAAACCUCAUCGUACAUCUGAUCUCAGAUGCACUCUGCUGUCUGAAGCUGAAUCUCUAAUAAUCUCGGAUCACAUGUCGCGU